CGGCAUGUACAUGUACACACGACCUUGCAUACCAGUCAGUACCAGAACAGAAACUGCCUGUGUAGCAGAUUUGAAUUCAGUCAGUUGGACCAAAGUGGACCAUGGAGCUAUGGUGGGAAGGAUCGAGGAAUGGGUUUGCUGGAAACAAAAAAUACAUGUAUUGUCAUGAUUGUACUUGUUUGUACAAGAAGAUUGAGAUGAAAUUGCUCAAACCAUGAAUGUUGGCAGUAAAGUGCAUGCCUAUGGAAACUUUCAAGAAUUAAUUGUUGUUCUUGCAAACACAUUUGAUGGAGAUUUAACUGUGUGCCUCCAUGGUGUAAUGUUGCCUACAUCUCCGGAUGAUCAUGAUUUGCACGGUGCUGUACUACUCUGCUAGAAUUACGGAAGACGUGAAGGGUCUGGGUGAAAACGAUGGUGACUGACUUCCUCAAAUGAUACAUCUAGAAUUCUACAUCUACCUGUCUCCAUGAUCCUUUGCGCUAUGCAUGGAUAUGAUCUACCAAAAACUACUGAGAUGAGCUGCAGUAUGUGCAUGUACAAGACAAAGACUGUCUGACUGCUGUGCCCCGGCUCUGCAAAUUGGAGGCAGCGGCAUGCAUCCUUAACAAGCAGUUGGAAUCAUCAUCCUAAUCUACAAGAUGUCAGUUCCGGAAACUACAAUGGACAUUACUUUUAAAAAGAUUAUCAAAAAGUUUGUUCCAUACAUACACACAUGAACAUGCAAAUGAUAUACAGGUAUGUCACAGCUUGAUAGAAUGACUCUUGGAAAUUACGAUCAGUACUUUCCUUCAAACUUCCAAUUCUAGUUGUCAAACGUGUCUGAAUACCAUUGCUUUUCAACAAAGCUCUAUGCAUGGUUUUACAAACUGAAUAUAGGCAUGGAUUGUUGCAACCAUCACAAGUCUUUCAUGCAUGUGUCUUUCUUGCCAAAUUUAUAGUAUCCCUCUCAGGAAAACAAUUCAUAUAAAAAUGUGUUGAUUUUUUUUGUUUUUUGCCCAACUUCUGCUAUUUUUUUCACCACAUUAACCGUGUACACUGUACAGACUGUGUUCAUUAUUGGUGCCUUUGAUUUUAAUACACUGCACUGGAAAGAUGUCUGCUCAUCCCCUACAUGCACAAAUUUGUAAAUUCAGAAGAAUUUGUUUUUUUUAAAAGAACAGAAUAUGUCUGUCCAACUGUAAUUGUGUCAUGGUUGUUUUCCUGAUUUUAUUUAGUAUAAAGAGUAACGCCAUGGUAAUGUCACAUUUUGAAGUUAACAGAAAUCUAUAUUAAUUUUCAACCAAAUUUUUCUCAAUGAAAAUGUGUAAAAAUGUCUGCAAGAAUUGUAUUAAAUGUUCUAUAGAAAAACCUA
Molecule: long non-coding RNA, 1351 nt
Filed under: Patiria miniata (bat star)
Lineage: Eukaryota; Metazoa; Echinodermata; Asteroidea; Valvatida; Asterinidae
Description: uncharacterized LOC119741666
Source: RNAcentral